This 407-nucleotide ribosomal RNA is filed under the name uncultured bacterium. Its description in RNAcentral is "partial 16S ribosomal RNA". It matches the Rfam family "Bacterial small subunit ribosomal RNA", at positions 29 to 526 of the family's 1533-position model. The record is from RNAcentral.
AUUGAACGCUGGCGGCAGGCCUAACACAUGCAAGUCGAGCGGAGCGGCGGACGGGUGAGUGCUGCCUAGGGAUCUGCAUGGUAGUGGGGGAUCACUCACGGGGAGGGGCGCUAAUGCCGCAUACUAACAGAGGGGCCUCGGUCGGAUUAGCUAGUUGGUGGGGUAAAGGCCUACCAAGGCGACGAGCCGUAACUGGUCUGAGAGGAUGAGCAGUCACACUGGAACUGAGACACGGCCCAGACUCCUACGGGAGGCAGCAGUGGGGAAUAUUGGACAAUGGGCGAAAGUCUGAUCCAGCCAUGCCGCGUGUGUGAAGAAGGUCUUCGGAUCGUAAAGCUCUUUAAGUUGGGAGGCGGUACCAACAGAGAAAGCACCGGCUAACUUCGUGCCAGCAGCCGCGGUAAUUC